RNAcentral lists this ribosomal RNA (717 nucleotides) under uncultured euryarchaeote. Its description in RNAcentral is "bacterial SSU rRNA". It matches the Rfam family "Archaeal small subunit ribosomal RNA", at positions 565 to 1285 of the family's 1478-position model. The record is from RNAcentral. Lineage: Archaea; Methanobacteriati; Methanobacteriota.
GUAAAGCCUGCUGGGGAUACUGUUAGACUUGAGACCGGGAAAGGGUAGGGGUACUUUUCGGGUAGGGGUGAAAUCCUGUAAUCCGAAGGGACCACUGUGGCGAAAGCGCCUACCUGGAACGGGUCUGACGGUGAGGGACGAAAGCUAGGGGAGCAAUCGGGAUUAGAUACCCCGGUAGUCCUAGCCGUAAACAUUGCCCUCUUGGUGUUGCAGGCUUCUCGGGAGCUUGCAGUGCCGGAGCGUAGGUGUUAAGAGGGCCACCUGGGAAGUAUACCCGCAAGGGUGAAACUUAAGGGAAUUGGCGGGGGAGCACACAAGGGGUGGGCGUUGCGGUUCAAUUGGAUUCAACGCCGGACAUCUUACCAGGUGCGACAGCAGGAUGAAGGUCAGUCUGAAGGGCUUACCUAACAAGCUGAGAGGUGGUGCAUGGCCAUCGUCAGCUCGUACCGUGAGGCGUGCCGUUAAGUCGGUUAACGAGCGAGACCCACAUCCCAUGUUGCUACUUGUUUCUUCGGAGGCAAGGCACUCAUGGGAGACUGCCAGCGAUAAGUUGGAGGAAGGAGUGGGCGACGGUAGGUCCGUAUGCCCCAAAUCUCCUGGGCUACACGCGACGCACAAUGCAUGCCACAAUGGGAUGCAAUCGCGAAAGCGAAAGCUAAUCCCCUAAAAGCAUGCUCAGUUCAGAUUGAGGGCUGUAACUCGCCCUCAUGAAGCCGG